CAGCCGCGGUAAGACAGAGGUGGCAAGCGUUAGUUCGGAAUUACUGGGCGUAAAGAGUCUGUAGGUGGUUUGUCAAGUCUUUGGNGAAAGGCCGUAGCUUAACUAUGGGAAUGCCAAAGAGACUGGCAGGCUGGAGGCUGGGAGAGGGAAGCGGAAUUUCUGGUGUAGCGGUGAAAUGCGUAGAUAUCAGAAGGAAGGCCGGUGGCGAAGGCGGCUUCCUGGAACAGUCCUGACACUGAGAGACGAAAGCGUGGGGAGCAAACAGGAUUAGAUACCCUGGUAGUCCACGCCCUAAACGAUGGGUACUAAGUGUGGAG
This 317-nucleotide ribosomal RNA is filed under the name uncultured bacterium. RNAcentral describes it as "bacterial SSU rRNA". It matches the Rfam family "Bacterial small subunit ribosomal RNA", at positions 512 to 827 of the family's 1533-position model. The record is from RNAcentral.